Molecule: transfer RNA, 85 nt
Filed under: uncultured bacterium
Lineage: Bacteria
Description: tRNA-Ser
Rfam family: tRNA
About the family: Transfer RNA (tRNA) molecules are approximately 80 nucleotides in length. Their secondary structure includes four short double-helical elements and three loops (D, anti-codon, and T loops).
Source: RNAcentral
GGAGAUGUGGCUGAGAGGCUGAAAGCGAUAGUUUGCUAAAUUAUUGUAUAUUUUUAUACCGCAGGUUCGAAUCCUGUCGUCUCCU